UCCCUGGUGGUCCAGUGGUUAGGACUCUGUGCUUCCACUGCAGGGAGCCCAGGUUAGAACCCUGGUCAGGGAA
Molecule: non-coding RNA, 73 nt
Organism: Bos taurus (domestic cattle)
Lineage: Eukaryota; Metazoa; Chordata; Mammalia; Artiodactyla; Bovidae
Source: Rfam